RNAcentral lists this ribosomal RNA (254 nucleotides) under uncultured bacterium. Its description in RNAcentral is "partial 16S ribosomal RNA". It matches the Rfam family "Bacterial small subunit ribosomal RNA", at positions 524 to 776 of the family's 1533-position model. The record is from RNAcentral.
UACGUAGGGCGCAAGCGUUGUCCGGAAUUAUUGGGCGUAAAGAGCUCGUAGGUGGUUUGUCGCGUCUGUCGUGAAAGCCCGGGGCUUAACUCCGGGUCUGCGGUGGAUACGGGCAGACUAGAGGCAGGUAGGGGAGAACGGAAUUCCCGGUGUAGCGGUGAAAUGCGUAGAUAUCAAGAGGAACACCUGAGGUGAAGACGGGUUGCUGGGCCGACACUGACGCUGAGUGCGCGAAAGCCAGGGGAGCAAACGGG